CCUACGGGUGGCAGCAGUGCGGAAUAUUGGUCAAUGGACGAGAGUCUGAACCAGCCAAGUAGCGUGAAGGAUGACUGCCCUAUGGGUUGUAAACUUCUUUUAUAUGGGAAUAAAAUGUUCCACGUGUGGGAUUUUGUAUGUACCAUAUGAAUAAGGAUCGGCUAACUCCGUGCCAGCAGCCGCGGUAAUACGGAGGAUGCGAGCGUUAUCCGGAUUUAUUGGGUUUAAAGGGAGCGUAGGUGGAUUGUUAAGUCAGUUGUGAAAGUUUGCGGCUCAACCGUAAAAUUGCAGUUGAAACUGGCAGUCUUGAGUACUGUAGAGGUGGGCGGAAUUCGUGGUGUAGCGGUGAAAUGCUUAGAUAUCACGAAGAACUCCGAUUGCGAAGGCAGUUCACUGGACUGCAACUGACACUGAGGCUCGAAAGUGUGGGUAUCAAACAGGAUUAGAUACCCCAGUAGUC
RNAcentral lists this ribosomal RNA (460 nucleotides) under uncultured bacterium. RNAcentral describes it as "partial 16S ribosomal RNA". It matches the Rfam family "Bacterial small subunit ribosomal RNA", at positions 338 to 795 of the family's 1533-position model. The record is from RNAcentral.